RNAcentral lists this ribosomal RNA (253 nucleotides) under uncultured bacterium. RNAcentral's name for it is "partial 16S ribosomal RNA". It matches the Rfam family "Bacterial small subunit ribosomal RNA", at positions 522 to 776 of the family's 1533-position model. The record is from RNAcentral.
GACGGGGGGGGGGCAAGUGUUCUUCGGAAUGACUGGGCGUAAAGGGCACGUAGGCGGUGAAUCGGGUUGAAAGUGAAAGUCGCCAAAAAGUGGCGGAAUGCUCUCGAAACCAAUUCACUUGAGUGAGACAGAGGAGAGUGGAAUUUCGUGUGUAGGGGUGAAAUCCGUAGAUCUACGAAGGAACGCCAAAAGCGAAGGCACCUCUCUGGGUCCCUGCCGAUGCUGGGGUGCGAAAGCAUGGGGAGCGAACAGG